This 497-nucleotide ribosomal RNA is filed under the name uncultured bacterium. RNAcentral's name for it is "partial 16S ribosomal RNA". It matches the Rfam family "Bacterial small subunit ribosomal RNA", at positions 28 to 507 of the family's 1533-position model. The record is from RNAcentral.
GAUGAACGCUGGCGGCGUGCCUAAUACAUGCAAGUCGAGCGAACAGACGAGGAGCUUGCUCCUCUAACGUUAGCGGCGGACGGGUGAGUAACACGUGGAUAACCUACCUAUAAGACUGGGAUAACUUCGGGAAACCGGAGCUAAUACCGGAUAAUAUAUUGAACCGCAUGGUUCAAUAGUGAAAGACGGUUUUGCUGUCACUUAUAGAUGGAUCCGCGCCGCAUUAGCUAGUUGGUAAGGUAACGGCUUACCAAGGCAGCGAUGCGUAGCCGACCUGAGAGGGUGAUCGGCCACACUGGAACUGAGACACGGUCCAGACUCCUACGGGAGGCAGCAGUAGGGAAUCUUCCGCAAUGGGCGAAAGCCUGACGGAGCAACGCCGCGUGAGUGAUGAAGGUCUUCGGAUCGUAAAACUCUGUUAUUAGGGAAGAACAAAUGUGUAAGUAACUAUGCACGUCUUGACGGUACCUAAUCAGAAAGCCACGGCUAACUACGUG